UGGGGAAUAUUGGACAAUGGGCGAAAGCCUGAUCCAGCCAUGCCGCGUGUGUGAAGAAGGUCUUCGGAUUGUAAAGCACUUUAAGCGAGGAGGAGGGUACUGGUAUUAAUACUACCAGGUACUGGACGUUACUCGCAGAAUAAGCACCGGCUAACUCUGUGCCAGCAGCCGCGGUAAUACAGAGGGUGCGAGAGUUAAUCGGAUUUACUGGGCGUAAAGCGCGCGUAGGUGGUUCGUUAAGUUGAAUGUGAAAGCCCCGGGCUCAACCUGGGAAAUGCAUCCAAAACUGGCGAGCGAGAGUAGGGCAGAGGGGGGUGGAAUUUCCUGUGUAGCGGAGAAAUGCGUAGAUAUAGGAAGGAACACCAGUGGCGAAGGCGACCACCUGGGCUCAUACUGACACUGAGGUGCGAAAGCGUGGGGAGCAAACAGG
This 430-nucleotide ribosomal RNA is filed under the name Pseudomonadota bacterium. RNAcentral's name for it is "Proteobacteria bacterium partial 16S ribosomal RNA". It matches the Rfam family "Bacterial small subunit ribosomal RNA", at positions 355 to 776 of the family's 1533-position model. The record is from RNAcentral. Lineage: Bacteria; Pseudomonadati; Pseudomonadota.